GACAAACGCUGGCGGCGUGCUUAACACAUGCAAGUCGAACGGAAAGGCCCUGCUUUUGUGGGGUGCUCGAGUGGCGAACGGGUGAGUAACACGUGAGUAACCUGCCCUUGACUUUGGGAUAACUUCAGGAAACUGGGGCUAAUACCGGAUAGGAGCUCCUGCUGCAUGGUGGGGGUUGGAAAGUUUCGGCGGUUGGGGAUGGACUCGCGGCUUAUCAGCUUGUUGGUGGGGUAGUGGCUUACCAAGGCUUUGACGGGUAGCCGGCCUGAGAGGGUGACCGGCCACAUUGGGACUGAGAUACGGCCCAGACUCCUACGGGAGGCAGCAGUGGGGAAUAUUGCACAAUGGGCGGAAGCCUGAUGCAGCAACGCCGCGUGCGGGAUGACGGCCUUCGGGUUGUAAACCGCUUUCGCCUGUGACGAAGCGUGGGUGACGGUAAUGGGUAAAGAAGCACCGGCUAACUACGUG
Molecule: ribosomal RNA, 468 nt
Filed under: uncultured bacterium
Lineage: Bacteria
Description: partial 16S ribosomal RNA
Rfam family: Bacterial small subunit ribosomal RNA
Source: RNAcentral